Molecule: long non-coding RNA, 534 nt
Filed under: Helianthus annuus (common sunflower)
Lineage: Eukaryota; Viridiplantae; Streptophyta; Magnoliopsida; Asterales; Asteraceae
Description: sRNA HanXRQr2_Chr13g0619761
Source: RNAcentral
UGUAACACCCCGUGUUUUCCAAAGUCAAAGUCAAAGUCAAGCAUUGACUGUUAUUGGAAUUAAAGAUUAAUAAAGAUUAAUUGCACUUUAGUUUCAUUUUGAUUUUCGUAUUAUUUGGAGUAAGUGUUGUAUAAUCAAACUAAUCGACCGAUAAUCGAACUGUGAAUCAACGAUCGACUGUGAAUGAUAGGAAUGUUGUAUAAUCAAACUAAUCGACCGAUAAUCGAACUGUGAAUCAACGAUCGACUGUGAAUGAUAGGAAGUAACAACGCAAUAAAGCUAGUCAAUCAAUAAUCAAGCUAAUCAAAUCAAUCAUCAAACUCAAGUGUGGGGAUUUUAGUACUUUUAUACGUGUGUGUGUGCCUUAUGUGUUAUUUGUGCAUGUUUACUUUUAUGUUAAAAUGUGUGGUGAAUCAAUCAAAUCAAUCAAGACUCGAAGGUGAAUCAAACUCAAUCGAAACCGACUUUGGAAACAAGUUGUAAGGAUGCUUGUAUGUUAGAUAUAGUAGUUGGGACUAAAAGUAAUUUGAUUAG